RNAcentral lists this long non-coding RNA (2384 nucleotides) under Homo sapiens (human). Its description in RNAcentral is "non-protein coding lnc-USP9Y-6:1". The record is from RNAcentral. Lineage: Eukaryota; Metazoa; Chordata; Mammalia; Primates; Hominidae.
GAGUGAGCUGGGCUGGAGUCCUCACUCCUGGCAUGACACCAAGUUCACCAACAACCACCCUGAACUAACGGCCUCACGGUUCCCCUCCGCCAGCUGCUGCCCUUCCUGGCCUGGCUGUCACCACUGGAGUUCUUCCUCCCACAACCUAUCCAGUUCCUGGGAGCAUACAAAUCUACAGUGUACCUUGGAUCACUUCAGCUCCCUGGGGAGUCUCGACAGCCUGGACCCCUCUGGGCGCCUCUUGGUGGCCAAGUCCAACAGCAACAUCGACCACCUGGGCAGCCACAGCAAGUGUGACUCUGCCUAUGGCUCCUUCUCCACCAGCAGUAGCACUCCUGACCACACCUUGUCCAAGGCCGAAGCCUCCUCUGCAGAGAACAUCCUCUACAGCCUGGGCCUCUGGGAGACUCCCAGGCAGGGCAGCCAGCAGGCACAGGCCACAGGGGCCCCCCAGGGCUUGGAGGAGAGGCCUGGGUGUUUCCUGCCUGUGGUUCUUGGUGACAGUGCCAGAGGCCCCAGGCCAGAGUACAAUGCCGAGCCCAAGCUAGCUGUCCCUGGGAUGUUCAAUUUUGGGCCAAUCUUGUAUGUUCCUUAUAAGGAGAAGGCACCAGCUUCCCCCUUCCUCCCGCUUCCCCUCUGCACAGUGACAGCUUUGCUGCCACCAAGAGCCUUGAGAAGGCCCAGGGCCCUGUGCUUGUAGAGGUGACCAUAGCACAGCACGUUAUGACCCCAGCCCAGCCUCAGCCCUGCAGCGACUGGAGACCAGAGCCCACCAAUUAGCUGUGGAGGCCAGGGAACCGGGGAGCUUGGGGAAGGGAGCAGGAGGCACAGGCUGCCCACAGGAGGCUCAUGCAGACUGCAGCUGGCCAUCUACCAAGGACGGAGCUUCAAGUAGGCUGCAGGCCUCUCUAUCCAGCUCACACAUGCACUUCCCGCAGUCUCCCCAUGGCAGCUGUCACCCUCUUACAGUGACUACAGCCCACUCUGUGCUGACAGCCUCGGGCAGGAGCCAGCAGCCGUUGGCUCCCAGGACAACAGCUCUCCUCACCUGAGCCAGAGCCCACAGCAUCACCUACCUCAGCCCAAGGGUUCUCUGGAUGCCUGUGAGACAUGACAGUGUUACCCACUGGACACAGUCUGGGUUGUCCCACAGGAGCCCAGGAGCCUCCCAGGGCUAGCCAUGCCGAAAAAGCCAGCCAACUGCCAGCAGCCGGCUUCACAUGGGCAGACAUGGAGAGCAGCAGGAUCUCCCCUCAGGAGAUACCCCUGUUGCACUCCCUGACCCAGGAGAGGAAGUGUUGGCCACAGAGCAGCCAGGAGGGCAGCUCCAAGAGGCCACCACCAUUUGAUGCCCAGGUGGACAAGCCCACUUGGAGAAGAGACCACUUUUCCACCACCUUACAGAAUGAGAUCCAGAUGCAUAGAGCCAAGCUGCAGAAGAACUGGAGAACAGUGGCUCUGACUACAGUAGGUGACACAGAGGAUGCCACUGAUCGCUGGAGGGCAGGGUUGGGAGGUGGCACCCAGGAAGGACCCAUUGCUGCUCCUAUAAAGACCACCUGAAGGAGACCCAAGCAUGGGUCCUGAGGGCCACUUCAAGUGCUAUGACUUGGACCCCAGCCCAGAAGACCCUUACCCAGAGUCACUGGAACACCAGACAAAAGAUCUGGAUGCUGCCCCCACUUCUAGGAGGCAGGCGUGGCCCAGCUGCCCUCAUCUGCAGGUUGCGGGUGGUCCCACCCGUCCUGCAUCAGAGCCUGAAGACAGUUCAUGGCUGAGCAGAAACUGAAGUCCUACUCAAAACCUGAGAUGAACAUGGUGGGCCUCACAGAGGGCAGCUGUGGUCCUUACCAGUAUCUCAGGACAUCUGAGGAUACCAUGGCACGUUUGCCCACAGGUGCAAGUUUUUUGAGGAAGUGGGCAAACUCAUUCCCCAGAGGCCUGCACAGAGGCAAGCUCUUCAGGGGGUCCUCAGAGACAAGCCGGAGAGGUCACGGACAGUGGACCGCACAUGUGAGGGCAUCGAACCCUGGUCGCACACUACCUCCCUUGUGGAAAGCCUCAACAGUCACAGCACAGCAGAGAAAGCAGGGAUGUUGGACGUCUUGGCACCUUUGCAGAGUAUCAGGCCUUCUGGAAGGAACAGAGGAAGCCUCUGGAGGCUAGGAGCUCUGGGCGCUGCCACUAGGCAGAUGAGAUCCUAGAAGUGGGCCUGGACCAGAAGGAGAGGCCACAACACAUUCACAAGAGGUCCUGGUUGCCCUCCAUACACCACUACAAGCUGGAUGCUUCCGUCAAACUGCGAAGGCAGGCAGAGGACCCCGGCAAGCACAUAGAAGAGCUUCCCUCUGCAGUCUGGGCCAAAGAGGAAUAGUCCAUGCCGA